Molecule: ribosomal RNA, 694 nt
Filed under: uncultured bacterium
Lineage: Bacteria
Description: bacterial SSU rRNA
Rfam family: Bacterial small subunit ribosomal RNA
Source: RNAcentral
CGAAGAAAUUCGGAUUAACACCGCAUAAAAACACAGGAUAGCAUUAUCCAAUGUUCAUAUUUAUAGGAUUAAGAUGGGCGUGCGUGUCAUUAGCUAGUUGGCGAGGUAACGGCUCCAAGGCGACGAUGACUAGGGGAUCUGAGAGGAUGACCCCCCACACUGGUACUGAGACGGACCAGACUCCUACGGGAGGCAGCAGUAAGGAAUAUUGGUCAAUGGAGGCAACUCUGCCAGCCAUGCCGCGUGCAGGAAGACAGCCCUCUGGGUCGUAAACUGCUUUUAUUCGGGUAAACCUUAUUACGUGUAAUAAGCUGAAUGUACCGAAGGAAUAAGGAUCGGCUAACUCUGCCAGCAGCCGCGGUAAUACGGAGGAUCCAAGCGUUAUCCGGAUUUAUUGGGUUUAAGGUGCGUAGGCGGCUUAUUAAGUCAGGGGUGAAAGACGGUGGCUCAACCAUCGCAGUGCUUGAUACUGAUGAGCUUGAAUACACUAGAGGUAGGCGGAAUGUGACAAGUAGCGGUGAUGCAUAGAUAUGUCACAGAACACCGAUUGCGAAGGCAGCUUACUAUGGUGUGAUUGACUGAGGCACGAAAGCGUGGGGAUCAAACAGGAUUAGAUACCCUGGUAGUCCACGCCCUACGAUGAAUACUCGCUGUUAGCGAUACACAGUUAGCGGCUAAGCGAAAGCGUUAAGUA